This 229-nucleotide ribosomal RNA is filed under the name uncultured bacterium. RNAcentral's name for it is "partial 16S ribosomal RNA". It matches the Rfam family "Bacterial small subunit ribosomal RNA", at positions 118 to 346 of the family's 1533-position model. The record is from RNAcentral.
UGGGCAACCUGCCCCAGACUCUGGGAUAACUCCGGGAAACCGGGGCUAAUACCGGAUACUCCGAUCGGACGACAUCGUCUGACCGGGAAAGCUCCGACGGUCUGGGAUGGGCCCGCGGCCUAUCAGCUUGUUGGCGAGGUAACGGCUCACCAAGGCGACGACGGGUAGCUGGUCUGAGAGGACGACCAGCCACACUGGAACUGAGAUACGGUCCAGACUCCGUACGGGA